RNAcentral lists this long non-coding RNA (835 nucleotides) under Homo sapiens (human). RNAcentral describes it as "HSALNT0301013". The record is from RNAcentral. Lineage: Eukaryota; Metazoa; Chordata; Mammalia; Primates; Hominidae.
GUCCUGUCUUCUGCCCCUUCCUCCUCUCAAAGCUGAGUGGGAAGGGGCUUCACACAAAGAUCAGGAAAGCUUGACGUAUGGCUAGUGAACUUUAGGAGGGAGAGGUACUGGGAUGUGGCUCAACCAGAGAAAAUCCCAGGUCAAAUGAAGUCAGACAGCAAAGGUGAUUGAAUUUUCAAUCUUGAAAAUACAUCAUGGAACCUGAUUUUCCAAAGAAGUGAUUCAAACUGAACAGCAAGGAAGCUUAACUUAUUGCUGCCUGUCUCAGAACUCAAGCUCACACUUCUCUUUUCUUCAAAUACUCGCCUGUUUCUAACAAUCUGCCCACUGCUCUGGGUCCCGAUGCCUCGACGCUGCAUCUUGCUGCCCCGGUACUCUCUUUAACCUCAGGAGAAGAAUCCCCACCUCGUGUCACUAGAAUGUGGAACAGAGAAGAAGGAAGAGCUGACAUAGUACAGACCAAGAAGAUUUUAAAAACAAACAAACAAACAAACAAACAAAACCACAUCCAGUUCCAUCAGCCACACCUGGCAGUAAAGCCCUCAGUGGCCAACUCAGCAGUCCCACUUUGAUUCUUCUUAGACGGCAGCAUCUUCUUAGAUAAUGCUGUGCCUGAUGCACAGUAGAAGCUUAAUAAAUACUAUGACAAAUUAAUGUCUUUACUGAUUAUAUAUAGUUUUCUGGGUGAGAGCAAUGAAGAUAAUCCUAUGUCUUCCUUAAUCCAGGCAACAGACAGCUUUCUGUUUAAAAUUUGUGUUCUGGAUAAUCAGGGUAUACAGAAUGCUGAUGUAUUACCAUAGUAUCAAACUACAAUAAGGCAAUGUUAAUCUAGCAA